This 274-nucleotide ribosomal RNA is filed under the name uncultured bacterium. RNAcentral's name for it is "partial 16S ribosomal RNA". It matches the Rfam family "Bacterial small subunit ribosomal RNA", at positions 523 to 796 of the family's 1533-position model. The record is from RNAcentral.
AUACGGAGGGUGCAAGCGUUAAUCGGAAUUACUGGGCGUAAAGCGCGCGUAGGCGGUUUGUUAAGUCGGAUGUGAAAUCCCCGGGCUCAACCUGGGACCUGCAUCCGAUACUGGCAGGCUAGAGUCUGGUAGAGGGGGGUAGAAUUCCUGGUGUAGCGGUGAAAUGCGUAGAUAUCAGGAGGAAUACCAGUGGCGAAGGCGGCCCCCUGGACUGAGACUGACGCUGAGGUGCGAAAGCGUGGGGAGCAAACAGGAUUAGAAACCCCAGUAGUCC